This 74-nucleotide transfer RNA is filed under the name Candidatus Woesearchaeota archaeon. RNAcentral's name for it is "tRNA-Ala". It matches the Rfam family "tRNA". Rfam says of the family: Transfer RNA (tRNA) molecules are approximately 80 nucleotides in length. Their secondary structure includes four short double-helical elements and three loops (D, anti-codon, and T loops). Further hydrogen bonds mediate the characteristic L-shaped molecular structure. tRNAs have two regions of fundamental functional importance: the anti-codon, which is responsible for specific mRNA codon recognition, and the 3' end, to which the tRNAs corresponding amino acid is attached (by aminoacyl-tRNA synthetases). tRNAs cope with the degeneracy of the genetic code in two manners: having more than one tRNA (with a specific anti-codon) for a particular amino acid; and 'wobble' base-pairing, i.e. permitting non-standard base-pairing at the 3rd anti-codon position. The record is from RNAcentral. Lineage: Archaea; Nanobdellati; Candidatus Woesearchaeota.
GGGCAGGUAAUUCAGCCCGGUAGAAUGCUCGGCUGGCAGCCGAGAUGCCGGGGGUUCAAAUCCCCCCCUGUCCA